GAUGAACGCUGGCGGCGUGCCUAAUACAUGCAAGUCGAGCGAACGGACGAGAAGCUUGCUUCUCUGAUGUUAGCGGCGGACGGGUGAGUAACACGUGGAUAACCUACCUAUAAGACUGGGAUAACUUCGGGAAACCGGAGCUAAUACCGGAUAAUAUUUUGAACCGCAUGGUUCAAAAGUGAAAGACGGUCUUGCUGUCACUUAUAGAUGGAUCCGCGCUGCAUUAGCUAGUUGGUAAGGUAACGGCUUACCAAGGCAACGAUGCAUAGCCGACCUGAGAGGGUGAUCGGCCACACUGGAGCGGAGACACGGUCCCGACUCCUACGGGAGGCAGCAGUAGGGAAUCUUCCGCAAUGGGCGAAAGACUGACGGAGCAACGCCGCGUGAGUGAUGAAGGUCUUCGGAUCGUAAAACGCUGUUAUUAGGGAAGAACAUAUGUGUAAGUAACUGUGCACAUCUUGACGGUACCUAAUCAGAAAGCCACGGCUAACUACGUG
Molecule: ribosomal RNA, 497 nt
Filed under: uncultured bacterium
Lineage: Bacteria
Description: partial 16S ribosomal RNA
Rfam family: Bacterial small subunit ribosomal RNA
Source: RNAcentral